GAGUUUGAUCGUGGCUCAGAUUGAACGCUGGCGGCAUGCUUUACACAUGCAAGUCGAACGGUAACAGGUCUUCGGAUGCUGACGAGUGGCGAACGGGUGAGUAAUACAUCGGAACGUGCCUAGUAGUGGGGGAUAACUACUCGAAAGAGUAGCUAAUACCGCAUGAGAUCUACGGAUGAAAGCAGGGGACCUUUGGGCCUUGUGCUACUAGAGCGGCUGAUGGCAGAUUAGGUAGUUGGUGGGUAAAGGCUUACCAAGCCUGCGAUCUGUAGCUGGUCUGAGAGGACGACCAGCCACACUGGGACUGAGACACGGCCCAGACUCCUACGGGAGGCAGCAGU
Molecule: ribosomal RNA, 341 nt
Filed under: uncultured bacterium
Lineage: Bacteria
Description: bacterial SSU rRNA
Rfam family: Bacterial small subunit ribosomal RNA
Source: RNAcentral